GGCUAAAUGGGGUCCUUAGAGCAUUUAUUAUGAGAAUAAAGUGUCAAUCAAACAUUUAAUAAUGAACCUCAGAAGGAACUAAUGAGAACGAAAUUUCAAGGGACUUAAAAAAGCAUGAAGAACUGAGGAUGAAGAAAACGAUAAGAUGGUCAAAUCCUGUCAGCGCAGGUGUAUGAUUACGAGUAUAGAUGAAAGAAGACGCAGAUGUCAAAAGCAGUAGUGGAAAGCACAGAGAUAAGGUUCUAAGAUAAUGGAAGAGUUGAGUCGAAUUGCUACUGAACGAUUGAAGACUGGAACUAGAAUAUAAAAUCUUUAGAUACAAUAAAUCUGCAUUUGAUCUUU
Non-coding RNA from Peromyscus maniculatus bairdii (prairie deer mouse), 342 nucleotides. The record is from RefSeq and is a predicted model, not a curated record. NCBI's taxonomy places the organism in Eukaryota, Metazoa, Chordata, Mammalia, Rodentia, Cricetidae.